Molecule: ribosomal RNA, 231 nt
Filed under: uncultured bacterium
Lineage: Bacteria
Description: partial 16S ribosomal RNA
Rfam family: Bacterial small subunit ribosomal RNA
Source: RNAcentral
CGGAUGCGGAUCUCGAAAGCCUGUCCCAGUUCGGACNGGAGUCUGCAACCCCGACUCCACGAAGUUGGAUUCGCUAGUAAUCGCGCAUCAGCCAUGGCGCGGUGAAUACGUUCCCGGGCCUUGUACACACCGCCCGUCAAGCCAUGGGAGCCGGGGGCGCCUGAAGUCCGGGACCGCGAGGACCGGCCUAGGGCGAAACUGGUAACUGGGGCUAAGUCGUAACAAGGUAAC